RNAcentral lists this ribosomal RNA (449 nucleotides) under uncultured bacterium. RNAcentral's name for it is "bacterial SSU rRNA". It matches the Rfam family "Bacterial small subunit ribosomal RNA", at positions 355 to 796 of the family's 1533-position model. The record is from RNAcentral.
UGGGGAAUUUUGCGCAAUGGGCGAAAGCCUGACGCAGCGACGCCGCGUGUGCGAUGAAGGCCUUUGGGUCGUAAAGCACUGUCGAGCGGGACGAAAAACUUGGCUCUAACACAGCCAGGCUUUGACGGUACCGCUAAAGGAAGCACCGGCUAACUCUGUGCCAGCAGCCGCGGUAAUACAGAGGGUGCAAACGUUGCUCGGAAUCAUUGGGCGUAAAGCGCGUGUAGGCGGCACGGUAAGUCAUCUGUGAAAGCCCUCGGCUCAACCGAGGAAGUGCAGCUGAAACUGCCGCGCUAGAGUGCUGAAGAGGGUGGCGGAAUGCGCAGUGUAGAGGUGAAAUUCGUAGAUAUUGCGUAGAACACCAGUGGCGAAGGCGGCCACCUGGGAAGCUACUGACGCUAAGACGCGAAAGCAUGGGGAGCAAACAGGAUUAGAUACCCGUGUAGUCC